This 492-nucleotide ribosomal RNA is filed under the name uncultured bacterium. RNAcentral describes it as "partial 16S ribosomal RNA". It matches the Rfam family "Bacterial small subunit ribosomal RNA", at positions 29 to 507 of the family's 1533-position model. The record is from RNAcentral.
AGUGAACGCUGGCGGUAGGCCUAACACAUGCAAGUCGAACGGCAGCACAGUAAGAGCUUGCUCUUACGGGUGGCGAGUGGCGGACGGGUGAGGAAUACAUCGGAAUCUACUUUUUCGUGGGGGAUAACGUAGGGAAACUUACGCUAAUACCGCAUACGACCUACGGGUGAAAGCAGGGGAUCUUCGGACCUUGCGCGAUUGAAUGAGCCGAUGUCGGAUUAGCUAGUUGGCGGGGUAAAGGCCCACCAAGGCGACGAUCCGUAGCUGGUCUGAGAGGAUGAUCGGCCACACUGGAACUGAGACACGGUCCAGACUCCUACGGGAGGCAGCAGUGGGGAAUAUUGGACAAUGGGCGCAAGCCUUAUCCAGCCAUACCGCGUGGGUGAAGGAGGCCUUCGGGUUGUAAAGCCCUUUUGUUGGGAAAGAACAGCAGCAGGUUAAUACCCCGCUGUUCUGACGGUACCCAAAGAAUAAGCACCGGCUAACUUCGUG